GACAUCUAGGGGUUAAAAAGACGAGAGACAGGUUGACCCAAACGUUCUUCUGGCCCAAGAUCACUCAUUGCAGGACCUGUGACAUUUGUCAAAGGAUAGGAAAAAGGGGUGACCACCAGAAAGCUAAACUCCACCCGUUAUAGACGAGCCCUUUCACCGGUUAGCGGUGGACCUAAUAGGCCCCCUCAGCAAACCCAGCCAGUCCGGCAAAAAGUUAAUCUUAACCGUGGUGGACUAUGCCACUAGGUACCCCGAAGCAGUAGCCCUCUGGAACAUAGAAG
Molecule: non-coding RNA, 281 nt
Organism: Pelobates cultripes (western spadefoot toad)
Lineage: Eukaryota; Metazoa; Chordata; Amphibia; Anura; Pelobatidae
Source: the annotation of a GenBank genome assembly